GGAUUUGAGGGCAAUCUGGAAGCAUCAUCUGCCUCUACGUUGAUUUACAGUGUUGACUCUGUUGACCUGCCAGCCAUGCAAAUGUCCCUGUCCUCACUCAUCCCUCCACACGCACCCCUUCACAAACCACACUCUCCACCAAGACACCUUUCCUUUUCUUUGGUCUUUGGUGACUCGUACACCAGUAUCACACUACUCUGUUAGAACCUCCAAAUAAGCUCUUGAGGUCAAUGUUUGCCCCUACUUUGAAAAGGAUUUUUUAUUUCUUUCUGAUUAUAUCAAUAAUGACAAUGUGCAUUCUGCAGGCCUGU
RNAcentral lists this small nuclear RNA (311 nucleotides) under Mus musculus (house mouse). RNAcentral describes it as "7SK RNA". It matches the Rfam family "7SK RNA". From Rfam's summary of the family: 7SK was discovered as an abundant small nuclear RNA in the mid-70s but a possible function has only recently been suggested. Lineage: Eukaryota; Metazoa; Chordata; Mammalia; Rodentia; Muridae. The record is from Rfam by way of RNAcentral.